Non-coding RNA from Pelodiscus sinensis (Chinese soft-shelled turtle), 182 nucleotides. The record is from RefSeq and is a predicted model, not a curated record. Lineage: Eukaryota; Metazoa; Chordata; Testudines; Trionychidae.
UGGGGAUGAGGCCAGCUCCGAAUCGGACAGUGGGGACGACGCGGACCGGGAUUUCUACCGCACCCUGGCCCUGCUGAAAACCAAGGACCCCAAGAUCUACCAGAAAGAUGCCACCUUCUACAGCCCAGCAGGUUCCUCGUCGGGAAGCGGAGGCGCGGCAGGGCCCCCGGUGCUGGGGGAGA